Molecule: small nuclear RNA, 192 nt
Organism: Cynara cardunculus var. scolymus (artichoke)
Lineage: Eukaryota; Viridiplantae; Streptophyta; Magnoliopsida; Asterales; Asteraceae
Product: U2 spliceosomal RNA
Exons: 1
Source: RefSeq, a predicted model, not a curated record
AUAUUAUAGAAUGUUAUGGUAAAGUGUAGUAUUUGUUUUUAUCAGUUUAAUUCUGAUAUGUGGGUUAUCGACCCCACUUGAUAUUAAUUUUAUUGUUUUUUGGGGGAACAUCCAUUAUCUUAGUUUAGUGAUGUGGUUCUUCAUGUAUUGUCUUGAGCUUCCACUACUGUUGCUAUAUAUUAUGCACCGCUC